RNAcentral lists this unclassified non-coding RNA (219 nucleotides) under Hevea brasiliensis (rubber tree). Lineage: Eukaryota; Viridiplantae; Streptophyta; Magnoliopsida; Malpighiales; Euphorbiaceae. The record is from RNAcentral.
AUGGGAAUUCCUUCUUCUCCGCUUUUAUAACCACGUGCAACCUCUAUCAUCACACUCUUGUGAAACACCCAUUUGGAAACAAAUACCCAAAAAAUGUCAUAGAAGAAAGCACAAGUAAGAAGAACUGUUCCCACCUUGAGAUUGGGAACUCGUAUGAUCUGAAGAACAGUGAUGAUCAAUGCCAUACCAAGUAUGUCUUGACCUAUCCAAGCAAAGGAG